Molecule: ribosomal RNA, 273 nt
Filed under: uncultured bacterium
Lineage: Bacteria
Description: partial 16S ribosomal RNA
Rfam family: Bacterial small subunit ribosomal RNA
Source: RNAcentral
UACGGAGGUGGCAAGCGUUGUUCGGAUUUAUUGGGUGUAAAGGGCAUGUAGGUGUCCCAUCAAGUUUCUGGUGAAAUCCUUAGGCUCAACCUGAGAACUGCCAGAAAAACUGCUGGGAUUGAGUAUGGGAGAGGAGAGUGGAAUUCCCGGUGUAAGGGUGAAAUCUGUAGAUAUCGGGAGGAACACCAGUAGCGAAGGCGACUCUCUGGCCCAAAACUGACACUGAAAUGCGAAAGCUAGGGGAGCAAACAGGAUUAGAUACCCCCGUAGUCC